Suricata suricatta (meerkat) is the source of this 709-nucleotide long non-coding RNA. RefSeq lists it as uncharacterized. NCBI's taxonomy places the organism in Eukaryota, Metazoa, Chordata, Mammalia, Carnivora, Herpestidae. The record is from RefSeq and is a predicted model, not a curated record. The transcript is spliced from 2 exons.
AUGACCUCACAUCGAGGGGGUGUGAUCCAGGGCCAGUUGAUUCCUGGGAAUCAGCAAACACCUUGCCUAGGAGCUCGCCUUUGCCGUGCAGACCAAGCAAGCUCACCUCCUUUAUCUAACACACACCAAGCCAACAGUCUCCCUGCCUUAUGUGACCCCAGGGCCGGGUCCUGGACAGCGAGGGACCACCUGCAGCCCGGAGCCCGCUGAGAUGGCCCCAGCUACCCGACCUGCCCGCCCUUUCCUGCACAGGCACAGUAGGGCCUGUGCCCGCGCGUUGCCCUGGCUCAGUCUGCCUCCAGGCCGACCCUGGCGCUCCCUGUGCGGCCCUGGGAGACGUGCUGUGCCCCUGCUCCUAGGGGACCGACUCGUGCCAGUCAUUUCUGUGUCUGCACGUCUUCCCACCUGCGGGACAGACAGCUGACUCGCCCCUCCCGACCUUCGCCCGGAAUCCCUUUCCCUUCCCUCUCUGCCUCACACCUCCUUACUCAGCCUCUGAGACUCAACUCAGAGGCCACCUCUUCGGGGAAGCCUGCCUUAGUCACCCUCACCACCCCUCCCGGGCGCAAGGGCUGCUCACACCAAUGUCUUCUCCCCGAGUGGGCAGGUGGAGGCAAGGAGGCCUCUUGAUCCAUGCGGCCAUCUUGGCUGCAGGGCCUGGCCGUGAAUCUGGCGUCGUGGAAUAAAGGAAUGUGAGCAUGGACGGAAA